Molecule: unclassified non-coding RNA, 264 nt
Filed under: Hevea brasiliensis (rubber tree)
Lineage: Eukaryota; Viridiplantae; Streptophyta; Magnoliopsida; Malpighiales; Euphorbiaceae
Source: RNAcentral
GCGCCGAUCACGUUCUUGUAGGCGACGGAAAGGAGAUUGCGCUCCUCGACGGUGAGCUCAUCAGAUUCCGGGAUGGAAAAGACCACCUUCUCCAUGAAUUGAACCAUUUCCUCGUAGCGCUCGGCUUGCUCGGCCAGCUUGGCCAUGUAAACGUUGUCUUCACGCGGAGAUCCGGCGGCCAUUUUCCGAUUCCUUUUGGUCUUUGGUGUGAGAUUUGAGAGGAGUUUUUCUUGGAAUUUUCAGAAAAAUUGGGAGGACUAAAAC